RNAcentral lists this transfer RNA (71 nucleotides) under Marmota monax (woodchuck). Its description in RNAcentral is "tRNA.Ser". The record is from RNAcentral. Lineage: Eukaryota; Metazoa; Chordata; Mammalia; Rodentia; Sciuridae.
GGGGAUCUGGCUCAGGGUUAGAGUGCUCACCUAGAACAUGUGAGACGCUGGGUUCGAUCCUCAGCACUUCA